RNAcentral lists this ribosomal RNA (253 nucleotides) under uncultured bacterium. RNAcentral's name for it is "partial 16S ribosomal RNA". It matches the Rfam family "Bacterial small subunit ribosomal RNA", at positions 524 to 776 of the family's 1533-position model. The record is from RNAcentral.
UACGUAGGGAGCAAGCGUUGUCCGGAAUCAUUGGGCGUAAAGCGCGCGUAGGCGGCCCCGUAAGUCCGCUGUGAAAGUCAAAGGCUCAACCUUUGAAAGCCGGUGGAUACUGUGGGGCUAGAGUCCGGAAGAGGCGAGUGGAAUUCCUGGUGUAGCGGUGGAAUGCGCAGAUAUUAGGAAGAACACCAGUGGCGAAGGCGGCUCACUGGCCCGGUACUGACGCUGAGGCGCGAAAGCGUGGGGAGCAAACAGG